Molecule: unclassified non-coding RNA, 489 nt
Filed under: Hevea brasiliensis (rubber tree)
Lineage: Eukaryota; Viridiplantae; Streptophyta; Magnoliopsida; Malpighiales; Euphorbiaceae
Source: RNAcentral
GAGCAACCGCAGCAGCUUAUCAUCUACUGCCUCUUUGAUUGAAAGGAGAAGGGAACCAAUUCAAUCUCUGACCGAAAGAGACUGCAAAGUGUCUCCUACCCCAGAUUUAGCUUGAAUUGGAAAGUCUAAUUUAGUCCAAUCCAAAUCGAAGUUACCAAUUUUUUAUGUCUCAACAAUGGUAGCAAUCCACUCUACCAUCAUCUUUUUCCCCAUCCUCCUUAUCUUCGUUGCAACUCUAUUGCAAUCAUCGUGUUCUUACGUCACAACUAGCAAAUACCCAUUACCGAUUCCUUCGCAUCGCGCCCUGUUUGCUGCACGUAGAGACCCCCGACAGCAGAUCCCUAAUUGCAGUGAGAUGGUGUCGGGACCUCUCUGUUCUCAAAACCCCAAUUGCCGGUGGUGUAAGAGUGACGCUCUUGAUGACAUGUGCUUUAGCAAGGCUGAGGCUUGGAGGCUGCCUCAACGGGUCUUCGUUUGUGAUUGAUUUCC